GCCUCAGUCUCCCGGGGUGUGAAAUGGGGUGGUGGAGGCAGGGUCCUCCCGGCCUCAGCUCCUGGCUGCCCAUCCUGUGAAGGUCCCCCUCCCCGCUUCCCAAGAGCUUCUUGCCCCUGACCUCGCCCUCCUCACAGCACCCACAGUCUCUCCCCCUCUGUUGAAUGGGUGCCCUUUGCCCACAGAUCACCCAGUUACCUCCCAUCUGAGGGGUCGUCCAUCACCACCUCUCUCCCCACAGCUGCUCCCACUUCUCUACUGCCCCUGGCCUGCCCACCCCACCAGCCAGGGCCUCAUCGGUGGGGACAGCCAGCUGCGUAUUGCCGAAUCCAAGCCGCUUCUCUGUCCUCUUCUCCCUGGGCAGAGGCCACCCCCUGCCCAUCCAGGAGGCCACCCCCUGCUUCCAGAACUUUCUUCUCCAGGCUUCUCUUCCUCCCCUACCCCCCUCUUCCUCCUGCCUCAAGGCUGCUCCCCUGCAGACCCCCUAAAUGUCAAGCAUUUAGUGGAUUUACCAGGAGCUGGGCACUGCUCUGGGGCUGGGAGGACUGCAUGCCUGAAACACGCAAGGUCCCUCACUCCCUGGGGCUUACGGUCUUGAGCGUUCCUCGGGGGUUGGACCAGGGUUUCUUCUCCUAUCUCUCCACCCUUCUCCCUGGGUGAUCUCAUCAGUUCCCAUGGAUUUAAAUAUCCUAAAGCUGAUGACUUCCAAGUCUGUCCCUGAAGCUGUGACCUCUCCUUUGAACUUCGACCCGCGUAUCCGGCAGGCCACUUGACAUCUCCCUUUGGGGUCUCCCAGACAUGUCAAGCAGCUCAUGGCCCAGCUGGACUUCUGGAUUUUUCUCCCCUAUCCUUUCCCAGCCAUCCCCACGCCAUCUUCCCUGUCUCAGCAAACCCCACUACAAACCCUCUGCUGGCUCCAUCCAGAAGCCUCGGCAUGCCCCUGGCUUCUCUCCUUCUACCCCCGCUACCAGAAAUCCACCCACAGACCCUGAGCAUCUCACGUCUGUAGGACCUCCCACCGUCGCCACCUCGGUCCUGGCCAUUCCUCCGAUAAUGAGACGUCAUGGAAACCGGGCUGCACCUGCCUGUACUUCACCUGGUCGUGGAGCGCACUGAAGGGGCUACAGUGGUGCCCACCUAAGGAAGGGGUAUGGCUUCAUCCCUCGUUUGACAGAGAAGAGGAGCAAAAUACACACUGAAGGCGCUGGCGAAGUGGGGAGAGACGCGGACAAGCUGGGGCAUCUCUGCUGUGACGUCAGCUUUUAGGGUAGUUGUCCUUUCAACAGAAUAUGUAUUGAGCACCUACUGCAUGCUGGAUACUGUGCCAGGCGCAAGAAAUAGAGCUGGGGGUGUGACUGACAGGACUGAAGGAUGUGCUGUCCAGCGAGAAAGACCAACAACGAAUGGAGCGUGUUCUGGGCCACACUAUAUCCAUUGAUUCUAGCCGUGAGAAGCCGAGGUUCAGUGAGGCUAACUGAUUUGCCAGUGAUCGCAGAAUAAAGGUGGAAGAGCCAGGAUUCAAAGCUAUUUACCCUCCAACCAACCAUCCAACCAACCAUCCAUCCAUCCAUCCAUCCAUCCAUCCAUUCAUCCAUCCAUCCAUCCAUCCAUC
This is a long non-coding RNA of Physeter macrocephalus (sperm whale), 1612 nucleotides long. RefSeq lists it as uncharacterized. The transcript is spliced from 3 exons. NCBI's taxonomy places the organism in Eukaryota, Metazoa, Chordata, Mammalia, Artiodactyla, Physeteridae. The record is from RefSeq and is a predicted model, not a curated record.